RNAcentral lists this non-coding RNA (39 nucleotides) under Trypanosoma brucei brucei. The record is from RNAcentral. Lineage: Eukaryota; Euglenozoa; Kinetoplastea; Trypanosomatida; Trypanosomatidae.
AAUCACAAACGAAUAGAAAGCAAGAGAGAUGUAUGUAUU